CUGGGAUGAUGCAAUUAGCCAAAUCAUAUGUCGAUGUGCUCCAUGAGGCAAUUUUUCCGAAGCACUUUACCAGUCUCGUCUAUAGACUUGGCAAGGUUUUCGAUGAAUUUGCCUUUCGUAGAAGCGUGUCUAUCUGAUGAUACAAUAGAGAUAGGGUUCCCUGCUGACCAGA
This is a small nucleolar RNA of Pyrus x bretschneideri (Chinese white pear), 172 nucleotides long. RefSeq annotates it as small nucleolar RNA snoR127. The transcript has a single exon. NCBI's taxonomy places the organism in Eukaryota, Viridiplantae, Streptophyta, Magnoliopsida, Rosales, Rosaceae. The record is from RefSeq and is a predicted model, not a curated record.